This is a long non-coding RNA of Fopius arisanus, 1265 nucleotides long. RefSeq lists it as uncharacterized. NCBI's taxonomy places the organism in Eukaryota, Metazoa, Arthropoda, Insecta, Hymenoptera, Braconidae. The record is from RefSeq and is a predicted model, not a curated record. The transcript is spliced from 5 exons.
GAUUCUAUACGAGUACAUGCGAAAGAUACUUCCCUCAAGAAGUAUUUAUUGGUAUCAUUUCAUCUUCGUGAUAGACCACCGGAUGUUGUGGAUGUGGAUGUUGUCCUAUUAAAAUGGGUACUUGCAUCAAGAGCAAAGAAGAAACUUCAACGAUGAAAAAAACUACAAAUGAGCCGAACGUCUGUUGGAGCAAAUCAAGCAAGAGGGACACGAGUAUGCAUUUUCAACAAAGACAGCGCUACAAAACCUCGCUACAAAAGCAGCAGGUUACGAAAGCUUAAGGUCCAAUUUGACUGGCCUAUUCAGGCACUUCAAUUCAGGCAAGCAAAAUUAAAAGGAUUUGAUUCCUUCAAUGCUAGUGGAAGAUAUCAACGUUCUGAGAAUAAAAAUGAGUGAGAUGGAGUACGAAACAGCUCAACAGCAACAAACUGCGUGGAAUCAUUCGAACGGACCUACGCCCAAAAAACAGAAGAUAGAAAAAUCAUUAUGCUGCUCCCACAACGGUAAUUUUUUAGAAAGAAAACAUGAAGAGAAUCGAUGAAAGAUUGAUAACUAUUGAAUGUUGAUUCCAAUAUGCGAAUGAUGAUUUCGUAUCAACUGACUUGACGAUGCCUAAAAAAUUUUACACCGAGCUUCAUAUUUGUUCUAUCGUACUUCUUUAACAUUUUGAACAAAAAUUGGUCUGUAGUUAUCGAUGUUUUUUUCAUAUCCUACGAGUGAUGAAACGAUUGAAGUCUUCCAAGUUAUCCAUCACUACUUGCGAUUUCCUCCGAAAAUUCAUGUCAUGAGAGGUUGCCAUGCAAUAUACAGCCAUAAAAAAAGGAGUGACAAAUUGGCGAUGAAGCUGAACCUUCCUCAAUUUAUGGAGCGUAUCACUGGCACUGAUGGCUUCACAUCCAGGAAUCACUGAGAAGGAAGCAAAGACCGCCAUUGGAACAGCGCUACCGCAAGCGAAAGGAUAGGAUGGUCAUCGAUCGCAAAAAAAAAUAUACAAAUCUGACGCCUCAUCAGUCAUUACCAUUACCGAGUACAAGUUCAGCAGGAUCCAAUGACGAACAAGAAAUGCGUAAUACGAGUAAUGAGAGAGUAAAACAGAUCGAUAAUUACUGGGAGAGACUGCAAACGUACAAUCCAACUUUAUGGAUUCACAAUACAGAGGAAUCAUCCGAAUCUGAAUGGAUCUGGAAACAACCUCCAAAAGCUAAGCCGGAUAGCGUUAGGAUGGAUUUAGGAGAUUGUCAAAAAAUGUUAAAUACUAAACACGC